RNAcentral lists this unclassified non-coding RNA (248 nucleotides) under Trapeliopsis californica. RNAcentral's name for it is "partial contains 5.8S ribosomal RNA, internal transcribed spacer 2, and large subunit ribosomal RNA". Lineage: Eukaryota; Fungi; Ascomycota; Lecanoromycetes; Trapeliales; Trapeliaceae. The record is from RNAcentral.
CGCACAUUGCGCCCUCUGGCAUUCCGGGGGGCAUGCCUGUCCGAGCGUCAUUACAACCCCUCGAGCGCGGGCUCGGUGUUGGGCGGAGCGUCCGAGAGGACGGGCCGUCCCGAAAGACGUGGGCCGGCUCUCGUCGAAGCCAAGUCGCAGCGGAAUAAAUUUGCGACGGACGGAGACGAGGCCGCGCCCGACCUUUUUGUUACAAUCAGGUUGACCUCGGAUCAGGCAGGAAUACCCGCUGAACUUAA